RNAcentral lists this ribosomal RNA (428 nucleotides) under uncultured bacterium. Its description in RNAcentral is "partial 16S ribosomal RNA". It matches the Rfam family "Bacterial small subunit ribosomal RNA", at positions 354 to 796 of the family's 1533-position model. The record is from RNAcentral.
GUGGGGAAUAUUGGGCAAUGGGCGCAAGCCUGACCCAGCAACGCCGCGUGAGGGAAGAAGGCUUUCGGGUUGUAAACCUCUGUCCUUGGUGACGAAAAAAAUGACGGUAGCCAAGGAGGAAGCCCCGGCUAACUACGUGCCAGCAGCCGCGGUAAUACGUAGGGGGCGAGCGUUGUCCGGAAUUACUGGGCGUAAAGGGUGCGUAGGUGGCCUUUUAAGUUGGAUGUGAAAUACCCGGGCUUAACUUGGGGGGUGCAUCCAAAACUGGGAGGCUAGAGUGCAGGAGAGGAAAGCGGAAUUCCUAGUGUAGCGGUGAAAUGCGUAGAUAUUAGGAGGAACACCAGUGGCGAAGGCGGCUUUCUGGACUGUAACUGACACUGAGGCACGAAAGCGUGGGGAGCAAACAGGAUUAGAAACCCGUGUAGUCC